Molecule: long non-coding RNA, 540 nt
Filed under: Numida meleagris (helmeted guineafowl)
Lineage: Eukaryota; Metazoa; Chordata; Aves; Galliformes; Numididae
Description: lncRNA (ENSNMEG00000003793.1)
Source: RNAcentral
AUGGAAGUGUCCCUUCCUCCUGGUCGUGCUCUGAAGCAGUGGGGACUGGGAGCCCUGCUUCCCCCAGUGACAGCUGGUACAAGUGGUUGUGGCAUUCCUCACCAGGCUGUGCUUGAAGACAAUAACAAUUAUCUUAAUUUCUCUGCCUGUGCGGAGCACCGCAGUACCACAAAGCUGAGUCCUGAGCCAGUUCCAGAUCUGAGUGCGUGCUUUUGGGAGCUGAGCACGGAGCUUCACGAGAAGCACAGCCCUGCCUUGCUGCCUUCCCCUUGCUGUGCUACUUCAACUACAGAGCUGAAACACAAAACGUCUCCACAAAGCUGUCUGGCUUUAGGAACCUCUGAAUGUGUGGACGAAGGGCCUGAGCAAAUGGUCCCACCCUGUGCAGCGUUCAGCACUUUUGGAGGUGGAUGGACAAGGGAUGCAGUCGUCACAGCUCAUGGCUCUGGUAAAGGAGAGAGGCAGUUGCAGAGGGCAGCCCUGGUCUACCUACCGCCAUGGAAACUCAUUUGUCUCUAUUCAGGAUUUUCCCUUAGCUGA